GACCACUUGUGGUAAUUAUUAACUAUCACCUUUAACCAUGUGAAUUAAAAUUGAGGACCAGCUCAAAAUACAUUUAUAGUGAAUAAACUCUUCAAUAUAGCAACUUUACCCUUCAGGAUGGGGAUUUAGAAGGAGUUGGGAGGAGAGGAAUAGAUAGGUAAUAGUAGGAGAAGGUUUCAAGUGAAGCCAGAGGACACAGGAUGAUCAUGCAAACUCUAGGAAACUGUUGAAGACAAGAGGGAAAGACAGAGUGCAAGAACAAAGACAAGAAUAGAAGAAUUUAACAGAAAUAAGGAAGCUAAAAAUUGUACUCACUUUCCUUUGAAACUAAUGACCAUUAAGUGAAGAAUAAAGAAAAUAAAAGAGAAAAAAGAAAUCUGAAUUAGGGCAGGAACAAGAACAAAAACGGAGAUGUAGAAUAACUUGGGGGAGCAAGGGACUGAGUGGGAAAAAGAAGAAAGAAGGAAGAAUUUGUAGAAUGGGAACAAAUAAAAAUUAAAAAUAAUAGGAAAAGCGAGAAAAACAUUUGAAGAGCCUCUUUCAGGGUAUAUCUCUGCUGUCACAAUAGACAAUGUGGGUGGCAACGUGCAGAACUAAAUUAAUUAGUCUCAGCUAGCCAAAGGCAGACCUUUGAGAUUCAGGCUGAAUUCUGGCUGCAAGGCCCAAGGUGGGCUUCCUGACCUCCUGCAGGGUUGAAUUCUGUAUGGCUCUACUGCAGGUUCCAGCUGCCCUUCCCCUGAAGACAGUCCAAGUUCAGGUGGAAGGUGGUGAUCCCCACAAUUUACCAACUAUGGAAGUCUGAUGUGCCUUUAUUGCUGUUGUUCACUUCCAUUGUAGUUUCUGGAGCUGAGUAAUAUGGCUUUUGUGACCAUCUGUGCCUCUGCAGUGUGGAUCCAGCUGAAGAGGGGGAAGACAAAUGGUGUUGCCUGCCUUUAUCCUCAUAAGGAAACCAGUGAGGAGACAGGCCUUACUGCCCAGUGA
This 981-nucleotide long non-coding RNA is filed under the name Fukomys damarensis (Damara mole-rat). RNAcentral's name for it is "lncRNA (ENSFDAG00000027280.1)". The record is from RNAcentral. Lineage: Eukaryota; Metazoa; Chordata; Mammalia; Rodentia; Bathyergidae.